RNAcentral lists this ribosomal RNA (438 nucleotides) under uncultured bacterium. Its description in RNAcentral is "bacterial SSU rRNA". It matches the Rfam family "Bacterial small subunit ribosomal RNA", at positions 954 to 1392 of the family's 1533-position model. The record is from RNAcentral.
GCACAACGCGAAGAACCUUACCCACCUUUGACAUGUACGGAAUCCUUUAGAGAUAGAGGAGUGCUCGAAAGAGAGCCGUAACACAGGUGCUGCAUGGCUGUCGUCAGCUCGUGUCGUGAGAUGUUGGGUUAAGUCCCGCAACGAGCGCAACCCUUGUCAUUAGUUGCUACAUUUAGUUGGGCACUCUAAUGAGACUGCCGGUGACAAACCGGAGGAAGGUGGGGAUGACGUCAAGUCCUCAUGGCCCUUAUAGGUGGGGCUACACACGUCAUACAAUGGCUGGUACAAAGGGUUGCCAACCCGCGAGGGGGAGCUAAUCCCAUAAAGCCAGUCGUAGUCCGGAUCGCAGUCUGCAACUCGACUGCGUGAAGUCGGAAUCGCUAGUAAUCGUGGAUCAGAAUGUCACGGUGAAUACGUUCCCGGGUCUUGUACACACCG